ACCGGAAGGACUAGUGGAGCGCUUAGAAGUGAGAAUGCCGGUAUGAGUAGCGAAAGAAGGGUGAGAAUCCCUUCCACCGAAUGCCUAAGGUUUCCUGAGGAAGGCUCGUCCGCUCAGGGUUAGUCGGGACCUAAGCCGAGGCCGAAAGGCGUAGGCGAUGGACAACAGGUUGAUAUUCCUGUACCACCUCUUCACCGUUUGAACGAUGGGGGGACGCAGGAGGAUAGGGUAAGCGCACUGCUGGUUAUGUGCGUCUAAGCAGUUAGGCUGGUUACGAGGCAAAUCCCGUAACCGUGAAGGCGGAGCUGUGAUAGCGAGGGAAAUAUAGUACCGAAGUUCCUGAUUCCACACUGCCAAGAAAAUCCUCUAGUGAGGUGAAAGGUGCCCGUACCGCAAACCGACACAGGUAGGCGAGGAGAGAAUCCUAAGGUGAGCGAGAGAACUCUCGUUAAGGAACUCGGCAAAAUGACCCCGUAACUUCGGGAGAAGGGGUGCUCUGGUAGGGUGCAAGCCCGAGAGAGCCGCAGUGAAUAGGCCCAGGCGACUGUUUAGCAAAAACACAGGUCUCUGCGAAGCCGCAAGGCGAAGUAUAGGGGCUGACGCCUGCCCGGUGCUGGAAGGUUAAGAGGAGGGGUUAGCGUAAGCGAAGCUCUGAAUUGAAGCCCCAGUAAACGGCGGCCGUAACUAUAACGGUCCUAAGGUAGCGAAAUUCCUUGUCAGGUAAGUUCUGACCCGCACGAAAGGCGUAACGAUCUGGGCACUGUCUCAACGAGAGACUCGGUGAAAUUAUAGUACCUGUGAAGAUGCAGGUUACCCGCGACAGGACGGAAAGACCCCGUGGAGCUUUACUGCAGCCUGAUAUUGAAUUUUGGUACAGCUUGUACAGGAUAGGUAGGAGCCUUUGAAGCCGGAGCGCCAGCUUCGGUGGAGGCGUCGGUGGGAUACUACCCUGGCUGUAUUGAAAUUCUAACCCGCACCCCUGAUCGGGGUGGGAGACAGUGUCAGGCAGGCAGUUUGACUGGGGCGGUCGCCUCCUAAAGAGUAACGGAGGCGCCCAAAGGUUCCCUCAGAAUGGUUGGAAAUCAUUCGUAGAGUGUAAAGGCACAAGGGAGCUUGACUGCGAGACCUACAAGUCGAGCAGGGACGAAAGUCGGGCUUAGUGAUCCGGUGGUUCCGCAUGGAAGGGCCAUCGCUCAACGGAUAAAAGCUACCCCGGGGAUAACAGGCUUAUCUCCCCCAAGAGUCCACAUCGACGGGGAGGUUUGGCACCUCGAUGUCGGCUCAUCGCAUCCUGGGGCUGUAGUCGGUCCCAAGGGUUGGGCUGUUCGCCCAUUAAAGCGGUACGCGAGCUGGGUUCAGAACGUCGUGAGACAGUUCGGUCCCUAUCCGUCGUGGGCGUAGGAAAUUUGAGAGGAGCUGUCCUUAGUACGAGAGGACCGGGAUGGACGCACCGCUGGUGUACCAGUUGUCUUGCCAAAGGCAUCGCUGGGUAGCUAUGUGCGGAAGGGAUAAGUGCUGAAAGCAUCUAAGCAUGAAGCCCCCCUCAAGAUGAGAUUUCCCAUAGCGCAAGCUAGUAAGAUCCCUGAAAGAUGAUCAGGUUGAUAGGUUCGAGGUGGAAGUGUGG
The sequence is a ribosomal RNA, 1624 nucleotides long. It matches the Rfam family "Bacterial large subunit ribosomal RNA", at positions 1260 to 2878 of the family's 2925-position model. The record is from Rfam.